UAAUAUUUCAGCCUUUCCGCCCCACCCCACCCCCCCUCUCUGCUAUCUAUUUCUUAUUUCAUCCAGAUCCCUGGAUCCCUGCAGCCUCUCCAUACGAAAAGGGAAGACAGAGGUGCAGAGGCAAAUGGGCAUUCAUUCUCUGGAGUGGGACCAGCCCUAUAUGGCUUUGAUUUCCUAACUACACAGGAGAGGAGAGGAGGGAAAUGUUACUGGGAAUCUGCAGGUGUCCAUCUUGUUUGACCACUCCUUCUCCAGGCCUUGGAGCUAGACCAUUAUCCACUGCCUCUGGAAUGGUGCCCACUGAAUGGAGGAAAACCCGUUUCAUGUCUAAUGUAGGACCAGAAUACCCUUAGCCUACAGAUAUGAAGAUGAGUUGGAGGCACCCUAUUACUACCCUGUCCUGGUAAAAUAAACUCCAGCUGAGUCAAUAAGCAUGUACCUUAGUUGUUGACGUACAAAAUGUGCAGCUGCACAAUUAAAUGGAUAUUAGCUAUGA
This is a long non-coding RNA of Harpia harpyja (harpy eagle), 496 nucleotides long. RefSeq lists it as uncharacterized. The record is from RefSeq and is a predicted model, not a curated record. Lineage: Eukaryota; Metazoa; Chordata; Aves; Accipitriformes; Accipitridae. The transcript is spliced from 2 exons.